Molecule: ribosomal RNA, 301 nt
Filed under: uncultured bacterium
Lineage: Bacteria
Description: partial 16S ribosomal RNA
Rfam family: Bacterial small subunit ribosomal RNA
Source: RNAcentral
CAGCAGCCGCGGUAAUACGUAGGUGGCAAGCGUUGUCCGGAAUUAUUGGGCGUAAAGGGCUCGCAGGCGGUUUCUUAAGUCUGAUGUGAAAGCCCCCGGCUCAACCGGGGAGGGUCAUUGGAAACUGGGAAACUUGAGUGCAGAAGAGGAGAGUGGAAUUCCACGUGUAGCGGUGAAAUGCGUGGAGAUGUGGAGGAACACCAGUGGCGAAGGCGACUCUCUGGUCUGUAACUGACGCUGAGGAGCGAAAGCGUGGGGAGCGAACAAGAUUAGAUACCCCGGUAGUCCCUGUCUCUUAUAC